Molecule: transfer RNA, 70 nt
Filed under: Psittacara leucophthalmus (white-eyed parakeet)
Lineage: Eukaryota; Metazoa; Chordata; Aves; Psittaciformes; Psittacidae
Also listed under: 4 other names
Description: tRNA-Glu
Rfam family: tRNA
About the family: Transfer RNA (tRNA) molecules are approximately 80 nucleotides in length.
Source: RNAcentral
GUUCUUGUAGUUGAGGCAGCAACGAUGGUUUUUCAGGCCAUAGGCCUUGGUUAAAUCCAAGUAAGAACAC